Molecule: ribosomal RNA, 454 nt
Filed under: uncultured organism
Description: partial 16S ribosomal RNA
Rfam family: Bacterial small subunit ribosomal RNA
Source: RNAcentral
ACGUACACUCCUACGGGAGGCAGCAGUGGGGAAUAUUGGACAAUGGGCGCAAGCCUGAUCCAGCCAUGCCGCGUGAGUGAUGAAGGCCCUAGGGUUGUAAAGCUCUUUCACCGGUGAAGAUAAUGACGGUAACCGGAGAAGAAGCCCCGGCUAACUUCGUGCCAGCAGCCGCGGUAAUACGAAGGGGGCUAGCGUUGUUCGGAUUUACUGGGCGUAAAGCGCACGUAGGCGGACUAUUAAGUCAGGGGUGAAAUCCCGGGGCUCAACCCCGGAACUGCCUUUGAUACUGGUAGUCUUGAGUUCGAGAGAGGUGAGUUGAAUUCCGAGUGUAGAGGUGAAAUUCGUAGAUAUUCGGAGGAACACCAGUGGCGAAGGCGGCUCACUGGCUCGAUACUGACGCUGAGGUGCGAAAGCGUGGGGAGCAAACAGGAUUAGAUACCCUUGUAGUCCCAUG